CAUCGUAUAUGCAUAUUUAGAUCGGAUUAUGAUAUAUCUAUUAUGUUACAAAAGAAUUUUGAUGUGCAUCAGAUUUAGAACUCUCAGCCUGGCUAUGUUCUGGAUCCUGCCAAUAGGGGGUUAUGCAUUGGCCAUUCUGGCCCCACCACAGGGUAUAAGUGUGGUAUUCUGGUCCACUCCGCAGGGUAUAAGUGCGGUAUUCUGGCCCACUCCGCAGGGUAUAAGUGCGGUUCUGUUUCUGGCCUAGCCACAGGGUAUAAGUGUGGUCGUAGCUAAAGGCUGAUGAGAUGAAUAUGAUUUGUUUCGAAUCAGAUUUAUGAUUAUGUAUAUAGAUAUUUGAAAAAAUAUGAAUUUUAAUGAAUUUGUGCUUGAAAAGGAAUUGAUUAUGUUAUUAUGUUGAUACAUCGUAAUUUGUAUUUAUAUUUUAUGUUAUUAUAUGAAUUGACUAGUUAAGGUGUUUAUUACUUACUGGGCUGUCUAGCUCAUUAUACAAUUUCUUGUUGUUUUACAGAUUCCGAGAACUAACCUAUCGGGGAUUUAAAAUGGGAGAGCGACUAGAAGAACUGAAGCACAAGUUAUCCUAGAUUAGGCUUUAUUUAAAUUGAUGUUUUAUAUUUAUUGUUCCGCUGCGUAUUUAGAACUGUAAGACUAUAUAAUUUGGGUCAGUCAAUGGAGUAAGAUUGCAUUUAUUUCAGCUGAAUUAUUUUAGUUAUAUUUUUUUGAGAUUUGGUUGAGAUGCCUUGCAUGCUCGUGGGGAGAGUUCCCUACGGGUGUGCGGCGGUUGGCGCGGACCCCCGGCUCGCGAUCUCGGGCCGGGGGCAUGACAACUUUUAUGGUAUCAGAGCAUGAAUGGAUAAAUUCUAAGAUAAGAAAAUCUGACAUGACAUGAGUGUAGGUGGGUAGACACUAGGGACAUUGGGACGUUAGUUUAUGAUGAUUGUAACAACCAUUCUAUGUACUUGUAAUGAACUGGUAAGCUUAUUAUUGGUAUGCUGCUAUCUGAUAGACAUAGAUCAGGAUGCCUCCACGUCGGACGAGAAAGACUACUCGCAGAACUACUAAUAAGGCACCCAACCCGCAAAAUGACAGCACACCCCAACAAGUUGGUAACACCCCUCAGCAGGAGAGAGUCGUCAAUCCUGCUAGUGAUACUCAGACAGGAUAACAAG
This 1169-nucleotide long non-coding RNA is filed under the name Phoenix dactylifera (date palm). Its description in RNAcentral is "long non-coding RNA (PDAC_LNC015380)". The record is from RNAcentral. Lineage: Eukaryota; Viridiplantae; Streptophyta; Magnoliopsida; Arecales; Arecaceae.